This is a long non-coding RNA of Passer domesticus (house sparrow), 2571 nucleotides long. RefSeq lists it as uncharacterized. The record is from RefSeq and is a predicted model, not a curated record. The transcript has 3 exons. Lineage: Eukaryota; Metazoa; Chordata; Aves; Passeriformes; Passeridae.
UUUCUCACGAGGCUGCCUUGCUAUCAAGGAGUUUUCCCUUUCUGUAUUUUAUAUCAAGUCACAGGUUUUACCAUUCAUACCCAGCACUACAUUCUAGUUUAGGAAUAAACCAGCUUAAGGUGUUUUUCUAGCUUCUACCUACUAGCUUGUUAUCCUCUUAACCUUGGUCACCCUUACGUAGGUCUCUAGAUUUUUGGAUGUGUUUUUUGAUGGAGAAGAGAUUCUAUGAUCCAAGCUUGAUGGUGGGAAUUGACUUUAUUUUGGGAAAUGUUAGUAGGACCAGUUUUGGUGUAAAGUGGUAAAAUUUGUGACACAAGUAGUAGGAUAUACAGUAGUACCCUUCUUGGUAGGGUGUGCUACCUUUCCCUGUGCCACUCAGGGCUCUGGGAUGUCCGUCAGGAUCAAGAAGAUUGACUCCUUGUUGCCAGGGGUUCCCUGGAGGAAACCGAUUGUGCUGGCUGAAGGUGCUCACUCCAACCCCAGGGAGUCAGGGACAUCCUGUUCAGGCCUUGCAGGCGGACUGGGACAUCCCGUUCAUGCCUUGCACCUUGGUUCCCACCAUGAGACAUUUCAGAAACUGUGUCCUGAGCCCUGCCAUGCUGCCAUCUCCUGCUGCUUGAGGGGUCAAAACUCCGGGCCUGCUGACGCCUGCUGUGGCCAUCAUGGUUCCGCCUCCGGGACCUGCUUCGGUGCCUUUCCCGGUCUCUGGCACGGUUAUUGUCAUGCUCCCCACCGGAAGAUCUGCGGUAUGCAUGGUCUGCGGAAUGAUGCCUCCUCCUGUCUGCAGAGUGGCGACGAUGUCUCCUUCCUCGAUUACGUCUGAUGGAGUUGAUGUAGUACACCUCAUAGUUAUUGUCUCCCACUUUGCGGAAGAGGUAUCGGAAAUGCUCCUGGCAGACCGGGCAAAGAGGUCUGAUGCGGGACCAUUCCAGUAUGCAAGAAAAGCAGAAAGCAUGUCUACACCAGCUCACGGAGGUUUCCUCCUCAAUGGUGUCCAGGCAGAUUGGGCAGUUAAAAGCUCUUCGAGGGAUAGCCAGGGGCACCUGGUUGUUGCUGACAGUAGAGGAAGAGGAGUCACCUUCUGAGAAACCCUCCUCCAAUGCCAUUUGGUACUGCAAACCAAAGAGAUGCAAGGCUCCUGGCCUGCCCUGGAGACACAAUCCAGAGAUACAGUCUGCAGACAGCAGCCAAGCUGUCCACACCAAGCACUGAAGAGCUGCCCCCUCUACCUCAAGGCUCUGCUUGAGCUACCAUGAGGGCCUGGGGCAGACAAGUGACACCAGAAGUGUCUCUGCAUGUGACAGCUCUCAGGGCAGGGCAGGGCAGUGACUGACCUCUCUGACAUGUGGAAGCAGGAAUUGUGAAAAUGUAUAAGCAGUUUCUGGCCUCUCAGCACCAGCAGCUGAAGCCUGGGAGUUCAUCAGAUUGACACCAGCUCCCCAGGUCCUGCCCUUAUCACUGCAGAACAAAUCCUCUCUUAUCACUGCAUAACAAAUCCUCCUGUGGAGGAGGGCAGGCAUUCUGGCCCUUCAGGGCUGCCCCACACUGCAAAAGGGAUUGAUGUCACACAUGUCACAAUGGCUUUGUGGUGACACCACAGGGCUUUCAGGAACUACACACAGAACACAUAAGCUCUGGCCUUGGGGAAGGAAAGGUUCCUACAUUCACUAGGCUGCCUUGCUAUCAAGCAGUAUCCUCUUUCUGUAUUUUUUUAUAAAGUCACAGGUCUGAUUCAACUCCUCCUGGUCAGCACUGAGGAGGCCACACCUGGAGUACUGUGUCCUUUGCAGGACUCAUCCUCAUGAGAGAGGGCUGGACAUAUGGGAGACUACUAGAAAAAAUUCUCAAGGGUAAUUAAGGAACUAGAGCAUCUCCCCUGUUAGGAAGUGCUGAAAGUUCUGCCUACAGACUCUUCAACCUGAAGGAGACUCUGAAUAGGGUAAUAUUUCAAGGUAUUUCCAUACCUGAUGGGAGGGUGCAGAGAAGACUGAGACAGGCUCUUUUAAGAGAUGCCCAGUGACAGCAGGCACAAAGCAAAAUACUGCAAAGCAAAAACCUUCCUUCUGAACAUCAGAAAGAUGGUUUUUUGCUGUCACAGUGACUGAGCAGUGACAGAUCUAGCCCAGGGUGCUCGUGGGAUCUCCUUCCUUAGAGAAACUCAGAAGCUGUGUGGCUGUGGUCCCUGGCCACCAGCUUUCAGUGGCUCUGCUUGAGCAGGGGAGCUGCCUGGUCCUUUUUCACCUCAGUCAUAUUGAGGUGAUUCUGUGACUCAAAGCACACUUGAGCAAGCUAACAAAGCAUGUUGAGGUUGCCUGAUGUGGGAAAAUUUCAUGCUCAUGAAGAGUCAGGUUUGCCUCAUACAACUUAAUCAUCCAUGAAUCUACGACUUUUUACCCCCUGGGCUUUAUUAGUGACUGCACAGAAAACUAACAAGCAGAUUGAAAGCAUGAGGGCUCCAUAAGGUUAAAUGUCUCCUUAAAGGUAUUGGUAUGUUUUCAUAGCAUGCACUGCACAUGACCAUAGUUUUCCCAGGUGCUUGUCAAGUCACAGUUUACAACUAAAUCAACUUGC